This 1386-nucleotide long non-coding RNA is filed under the name Homo sapiens (human). RNAcentral describes it as "HSALNT0303008". Lineage: Eukaryota; Metazoa; Chordata; Mammalia; Primates; Hominidae. The record is from RNAcentral.
ACAGCAACUUCCGAGCAGGAAGGAGAAGCCCGAUCCUAACUGGGGGAAGCUGUUUGCUUAGACAACUUUCUACACUUCAAAUAUUACACCUUAAACAACACACUGGACUAAGAAAUCUGAUCAUGUCCAGGCUUUUAACACCCUCCUCCCCCAAGGAACAAUAAAACACACCAGCGAAAACAAAGAGGCUGCCCUGAAAAGGUUGCAGUGGUGGAUGAUACUGGCAGAAUCAGAAAGGAAGCUAAGAGAAACAGGCGCGUCCUCAGCCGGGCCUCGCGUGUCCUGACACUGCAGCAGGCACGGGAUGUGGGCUGUCCCCUCCAGCACAGUGCGGGAAGGUGCUGGGGCAUCCAAACAGCAAAAGCAAACCUGAGACCCCAAAACAACUGCGUCUGGCCCAGGGGAGUGGGCAAAAAUUCCAACAGGGAGAGACCGUCUCUGGCUUAUUUACAGACAGGGUAAGUAAGGAUGCCCAAAGACAAGGCGGAGUAUUAGUAACAGAACUCAUGAAGUUCUAUGGAUCGGGAUGCUUUAAAAAAAAAAAAAAAACACCAAAGCUCAUCCAGAAUGUCUGAGGUCCCUGCAGUAACAUCCAUGCUAAUUGGUAAGUAAGACAAAGCCUCCCCUAACAAAUCAGCAAUGUAAUUAUAAAGCCAGUCACUAGAUCAAGCCAGUCUCCUGUGCUCCAGCGAUAUUCUGAACCUGUAACCCGAUACCACUGUUUGCUGCCGGCGCCUCCUCCGGGCUCUCCCGCUGCGCACCGGCCGCGCGGGGGCCCGCAGGGCAACGCAGCCUAGGCUGUUUGUGCAAGAUGAGACCCUGCAUUUGACGAAGACCUGCAGGAGCAAUCCUCCCGGCUUUCUUGACAGUGAAGAAGAAGAAGAAGAAAAAAAAAGCCUGACGAUACACUGAAAUUCGAACAGGAAGUCAAGCCCCAAGUAAAUUUAAGAAACAACUUUUACUGUUUGGGGUUGUUUUCUAAAGUCCAAAUUUUUAAAAUUCUAGUUUCUCCUCUCAGAUUUUUACAUGCUCCUAUUAAAUUGAAGGCAAUUUCCAAUACUGGAGGUUUGUCAAAUAUAAACUUUUCUCCUAGUAAAAUAAUUUUUUAAAAAUGUUGACAGCUGCAUUUAGUAAGCAAAAACAUAGUCAAAUUCUGGGAGGGAAUGUUUCAAGUAAAUAUUUCUUUAGAAUAAAUUAUGGCCUUGUUAGUACACAUCUGGAAAGAGAAUAGGCUUUUUAGAAUAUAAAUGUCAAGUGGUAUAAAAUGUUUCUUAUAUCCUGUCUUAGUGGUUCCUCUGCCAGCUGGGAAUUUUAAGUUUUAAUCCCAACUCUUAUGAAGCUAUGGACACCAAUUACCUUCUUCCAAGGACAAUGAGAAUGCUGCCA